AGUGAACGCUGGCGGUAGGCCUAACACAUGCAAGUCGAACGGCAGCACAGUAAGAGCUUGCUCUUACGGGUGGCGAGUGGCGGACGGGUGAGGAAUACAUCGGAAUCUACUUUUUCGUGGGGGAUAACGUAGGGAAACUUACGCUACUACCGCAUACGACCUACGGGUGAAAGCAGGGGAUCUUCGGACCUUGCGCGAUUGAAUGAGCCGAUGUCGGAUUAGCUAGUUGGCGGGGUAAAGGCCCACCAAGGCGACGAUCCGUAGCUGGUCUGAGAGGAUGAUCAGCCACACUGGAACUGAGACACGGUCCAGACUCCUACGGGAGGCAGCAGUGGGGAAUAUUGGACAAUGGGCGCAAGCCUGAUCCAGCCAUACCGCGUGGGUGAAGAAGGUCUUCGGGUUGUAAAGCCCUUUUGUUGGGAAAGAAAAGCAGCAGGUUAAUACCCCGCUGUUCUGACGGUACCCAAAGAAUAAGCACCGGCUAACUUCGUG
RNAcentral lists this ribosomal RNA (492 nucleotides) under uncultured bacterium. Its description in RNAcentral is "partial 16S ribosomal RNA". It matches the Rfam family "Bacterial small subunit ribosomal RNA", at positions 29 to 507 of the family's 1533-position model. The record is from RNAcentral.